UUAGGAAUUUUGGGCAAUGGCCGCAAGGCUGACCCAGCAACGCCGCGUGGGGGACGAAGGCUCUCGGGUCGUAAACCCCUUUUCCCAGGGACGAUGAUGACGGUACCUGGGGAAUAAGCCCCGGCUAACUACGUGCCAGCAGCCGCGGUAAUACGUAGGGGGCGAGCGUUGUCCGGAUUCAUUGGGCGUAAAGCGCGCGUAGGCGGCUUCGUAAGUCGGCCGUGAAAUCUCCAGGCUUAACCUGGAGGGGUCGGGCGAGACUGCGGAGCUCGAGGUGGGCAGAGGGCAGUGGAAUUCCGGGUGUAGUGGUGGAAUGCGUAGAGAUCCGGAGGAACACCAGUGGCGAAGGCGGCUGCCUGGGCCUGGCCUGACGCUGAGGCGCGAAAGCGUGGGGAGCGAUCCG
RNAcentral lists this ribosomal RNA (403 nucleotides) under uncultured bacterium. RNAcentral describes it as "bacterial SSU rRNA". It matches the Rfam family "Bacterial small subunit ribosomal RNA", at positions 355 to 775 of the family's 1533-position model. The record is from RNAcentral.